AGUGAACGCUGGCGGUAGGCCUAACACAUGCAAGUCGAACGGCAGCACAGUAAGAGCUUGCCCUUACGGGUGGCGAGUGGCGGACGGGUGAGGAAUACAUCGGAAUCUACUUUUUCGUGGGGGAUAACGUAGGGAAACUUACGCUAAUACCGCAUACGACCUACGGGUGAAAGCAGGGGAUCUUCGGACCUUGCGCGAUUGAAUGAGCCGAUGUCGGAUUAGCUAGUUGGCGGGGAAAAGGCCCACCAAGGCGACGAUCCGUAGCUGGUCUGAGAGGAUGGUCGGCCACACUGGAACUGAGACGCGGUCCAAGCUCCUACGGGAGGCAGCAGUUGGGAAUAUUGGGCAAUGGGCGCAAGCCUGAUCCAGCCAUACCGCGUGGGUGAAGAAGGACUUCGGGUUGUAAAGCCCUUUUGUUGGGAAAGAAAAGCAGCAGGUUAAUACCCCGCUGUUCUGACGGUACCCAAAGAAUAAGCACCGGCUAACUUCGUG
Molecule: ribosomal RNA, 492 nt
Filed under: uncultured bacterium
Lineage: Bacteria
Description: partial 16S ribosomal RNA
Rfam family: Bacterial small subunit ribosomal RNA
Source: RNAcentral